This is a long non-coding RNA of Bombus terrestris (buff-tailed bumblebee), 8764 nucleotides long. RefSeq lists it as uncharacterized. The record is from RefSeq and is a predicted model, not a curated record. Lineage: Eukaryota; Metazoa; Arthropoda; Insecta; Hymenoptera; Apidae. The transcript has 3 exons.
UAUUGUACAUUCAAAUAUAUAUUCUCACAAUAAAGUCGCAGAAAUUUGCCAAAUUACACAUAAUGUCACUGUAUUAACAGUUUGAAGAAAAGGUGCGAUUACGGUCCAAGUGUAUUAAUUAGAAUUUUAGGAAAUGACAUUUCUAAAGAUCGAAACUACUUUAUAGACAGUUACUUGAUACUUGUGUACCUGUUGGAUGAUGUUAGGAUUGGAUUGGCAAACUACAAACGGUCCUGCAGCCACGUGAACACGCAUUACGAGUGUGGUGCUUUUUUAAACUAUGGCACAUGACAAAGGGUGUUUUUAGAAUAUUGAUAUCGAAGCUGUUGAGCUUUCAGGGGGUGAGAGAAACCGAAGGAGUGGGUAGGAAUGGAAACUUUGAACGCACAUACGUGAGACGACGCCAAACCCGACGACGCAAGCUUUCGUUUUCAUUUCUUUUUUAUCUUUUAUUCGCGAUGGACCAACCCCUUUCUCCAUUCCAUUUGCAUUCGUGCACGCUGGCUUUUUUUCCUUGGGACGACGCGUUUCCAAAGGUUCGACACGUUGGUUCGUGUGAUCUGACAAUCUCUGUUCGCUUUCAUGCAGUCUACUUUUAUUUUUGUUCUUUUCUUUCCUCCUUUUUGUUUUUUAAUCAACUGAAAGGCGCUCAAAGUAUCAGCUCUCUGUUUCUCUUUCUCUCCUUGUUUUUCGCUGUCGUGGGAAAGUAGGUCCUGUUAAAAUUGCCGAAAAGUGAAUGUAACUAAAAUAAGAUCUAUAUGAAUUUCGAACGACUGAACUUUUUAUCAUACUACGAAUAACAAUAUGAAUGGAACAGUCUUAAAUGGGUGCAAUCUUCUAUAUCGAUUUUACGUUAUUUUAUUUGUCCAAGUAAUCUGCCAUCGAUCAGGAUUUAUUUUUUGUAACUUUCUUGGUAGACAGUGUUGUGAAUAAUAUUUUUAAAAUGAUGAUUCAAAAUGAUGUCUAAAGAAACAUGGCUCAUUAUAAAUAUAUAUAUUGUUAUUAUCUUGUGCGAAUGAAUAUAUUAAUUUCAUUUUCAAUGCCACUAAUAUCGCUAGACAUAUACGAAAAUGUAUAUUUAUAAACGCAAACAUUCAGAGUACACCGACAGCGACAGAAAUUGCCCUGAGCACAAUUGAUGCACCAUGUUGUUCGAUAUAUUGACAAUGCCCAUUUACGAAAUUGCGAAACUGCCUUCGAAUUCGAGGGUUCUCCGACGAGGGGUUCGGUUCCGGCACUAACAUCUUUUACUGUCAGACCGCAUAUUCGAUGUUUCCACAGUUUACAUUGCUCCUCGACAAAGGAGGCCUGCUGUCGCGAUUCUCGAUGAAAAGACACAAGAAAAAUCCAGCGGUAAGAUGGAAAUGAUGGAACAGACAUGAGAAGGGUGAAACGGGGUGACAUAAUGGUCGACGUGACAACGGCUGACUAGCAUCCGAUACAAAAGAACAUUUCCAUUUAAGUAUAUUGAAAAUGUACACACAGAGAGAUUUUUUCUAUCGAGAACAAACAGAGAAAAAUUGGCAGAUUAUUUUGGAAGGAUUAUUGGAUUAUUUAGUUAAUCAUAAUCAAGAUAAUCGAUCGCAGAUUUUUGAUCUUUUCUUUAAAUUAGAGACUUUAAUUAGAAAUUUGAAAAACAUUAAUCGAUAUGCUAUCUGACAUAGAUCGAUUGAUAAAGAUAUAGUAUAUCAGUAGUACAGUAAUAAAGGCAUAAAAUAAUACAAAAUCAAAUUCGUUACAGGGGGUUCGAUCGAACACUCCCACGCUGAUUUUCAUUGAUAUACGAUGCGAUUUCAAAAAACAUUUCCGUCUAGUGGAAGGGCAGAGCGAUGGAUGGGAGCAAGAAAUUAAAGGCAAUGACAAAUUCACGUCGUGCAGAUAAUUGGAAUAAAUAAAGGAAUAAUGGAGGUAGGUUAAGAAAGGGAAAAAGUGAGCGGAACACCGCGAGGAGGAGCCGGGAGGACGGACGGUUAUAACCCCUUGACAUCGGUAAUUAAAUGAAAACAAAAAGGAAGUAAUCGUACGGUCUCGAGGGGACGAGUCAAGACGGAGAAAGGAGGGAAUCUGAUAGGGAAGCAAGACAAUGCCCUCUUGGUCGUGCAAGAAUGAAAUGUCACCCACCGGACACGGACCAGCGAUUCGUUUGAAUCGUCGUUCUUCCGGUCCAUCUUUAUAUUCCCGAAGCCCUUUCCUCCUCCGCCUACGUCGAAUCAACUUCCAUCGAUUCGAUGGAAAAUGUCGCGGAUCGAUCUUACCUUCUUUUCUCAAUUAUUCUAUAUACAACCUCUAUCUUUGUUUCUUCAAUUUAUCUAAAAGAGGAUCUACAUAAAUGUUUUAUAAUCUCAAUAGGUACGUCGAAUGUUUCAAAUGGAAAUAUAGGAAGAGUGAAUUUUCAAUAAUUUUGUUUACUUUCUGUACGAAAACUGUCGAAGAAAAUUUCAAAAACUCUAUCUGAUAAAAGUGCUUGAAGACUUAUCUUAAAAGACGCUUGUGUGUGUGUGUCCUGUAAAACAUUUUGAAAUUUCAUUAGCACUGUAAUAAAAUGGAUAUUCUAUGUGCAAAAGUUAGAAGCAUUUAUUGCAAACACAUACAUAACAAAAUAUUAACACUCAGUAGCAAUAUUAAACGUACAAUUAGCGCUGAAGCUGAUCUCACUAAAUAUCGUGACUUACUAAAAUAAUUUAUAAUUAAUCGCCCAACAAUCUGUAUACUUGUAAUAAAUGCUUCUUAACUUCUUUGUACAUUUUCGGAUUCAUUUCAAAUUUAACUAUCGUGAUAGUCGGAUUUAAUUACAGUACAAAAUAUUAAAAUACUUCGUGUAACACACGUAAUAUGUUCAUAGGACUAGUCUUAAUAUAUCGUCAGGACUUUCUACAAGUGUGGGGAUACUUUCGUGAACCACGAUACGUCGCGUCGAUAUCACGUUUCACCGAACAUCGUUCGAUACAGUGCAAUUCAAUUGUCCGUCGUUGGAAACGAUUCGAAGAGCGCAUUGAGAAAGCGAGGGCGCAAAUCGACGUGGCUCUCGCUGCUUUUGACAGUGACGCAUUACUUUGAAAUCGUCUUGGCCACCCCAGCUCUUAAUACAAGGCAGACAAGCCGCGCCGCCGACAUCGGAAAGCGUUACCAAAGACAUCACAGAGCGAUCCAGAGUCGAGCAAUAUGCCAUCAAAUCCCCGUAACCAUCAAUAUCUUUUCGUUCCCGGCCGUAGAAAUCGCCCGUCCGGAUCUCCACCCUUCUGGCUGCGCUGAAAUGUUUUACAUUGCAAAAUCAAUGCCGCCAUCGAGGCCACCCUCUGUCACGAUACAAAACCGACGCAGCCCUUCGUGGCGGUGCGGCGGCUGUUCCUACGAUCUCUUCCGGUAAAUCGCACAAUUAUUGAAAACGCGUUCCUGAUCUUCUUCCCUCUUCCGUUUCCUAUCCAUCGGAUACCAUCCAGAAGAACGCGGUGAAACGAUCUGCUAUUAAUUGCGUGAUUCUUUUUUCCUUUUGCGCGAUGCUUUUGUCGAACGAGCUUUGAAAUGGAAGCGAACGUUCCUGGGACUCGUGUUCUACGUAGAUACAGAGGUUUGUAAAAUCUUUCAAUCUGGAUAAAGAUGUCUAGAGAGUAGAAGAAGAUGAUAUCCCUACAGGUUGUUUCGUGUGUGUUAAAAUGCGUAUGGAACAGAUUUAUAUUGAUUAUAUUGAUUGGAAAUUUGUAAAAUCGUGACGUUUGAUGCGAACCGCAUUUUUAUAGAAUGCGUGUUUCGAUGUUUUGCUAGAAGCGCAGCGAACUUUGUCAGAAGUCUUCCUGAAGAGUAACUCUCACACUUGGAUGCCUUGAUUCUUAAAAUUCUGCAAUACUAAACGGCGAAAACCUCACAUUUGUCGUAUCAAUUAAGAGGUAGGAAUAUUCUCGAAUUAAUACAAAAGUUGAAUGAAUAUUAAUUUCGCCAAUUUUAGGAAUCCUACAAAGAUAUAAUAUUUUAAUGAAUAGAGGAAAAUAAUAUAUUGGAAAUUUAUUGUACUAUUUUCCAUCUAUCUCGUAAACUAGGAAAGAAUUAUCUUGAGACCAAUUGGCAAUUUUAAUAAUUUGAAUUUUCAAGCUUUAGAAGAUUCUAAAAACGUGCAGUAUCUACAUCGUAAAUCACGCAUAAUAUUCAAUGAGUAGAUCUUCAAUAUUCAAUUCAGUACCGUGCAAUAAUAUUUCGAAUUCGUAUAUACGUAUUACAUCAUCGCGUUUAAAUUAUUCGCGCAAUUGAAAUGAUUUCCCUGGCAAGCUUGCUUGCCGGGCUCGGCGCGCAUUUGCACGAACAUAGGAACGUUCGGUGAAGUCGUUACGUUUGAUCGCCACGAUUCAUGGUAUAGUAACGCGUUAUCUGCCGGUGAAGUCGCAAAUAUUCCACGGUUCGAUGAAGCACCGAGAAAUUGGGAUGUGCCGGAUAAUACAUUAUGCACCGUCCAAUCUCGCAGGUGAUUUCCCUCGAAUCGAGAGAGGCAAUCACCCUUUUUAAAUACUCAACGGUCGGCUCGAGAGGACCAAUAAAAGCUCACUUCGCGGAUUGGGUAAUAAAGCUCCAAUCAACGGCUUAAUUAUUCGAUUACGAGUCGGCCUGGCAAGAAGGAUCGAGGAACCCCGGAUCCCUGGUUUGUUUCCGGCCAGUGGAUUACGGAAUCGAAGGUAAUUAGAAAUAAAUAGUAACGAAUCCCUUGUUCAUUCUCCCCUGCUUCUCUGGUUAUCUUGCUCUUAUUGCUUUAAUUAAAACGCAACGUUAAGACACCAGGCAAUCUUUGUUCUUUUCUUUUUAGGAAGAAAUGUUUCCAAUCUGUAUAUGUUGAUUUUACUGAAAUUUACGUAAUAUUUUAUGCUGUUUGUUUCUAGAAGAGUAUACGUAAUAUUUGACGUGUAUUAUUUUUCGUUGGUAAAAACCCGUAUUUAGGGGUGAAGACAGUCCUCAAAGUCGAAGGUCCGAAUUACGUUAGAAUUAGACGGUGUACAGUGGAAUAUGUAGCAGAGUAAAUCUCUUUUGAGAUCAAACAACAAAUACAAUUGAAAGCUAAAUAUGGGAAUAUCGACAAAACCAAGAGACAAUAAAAUUGUGGAAAGAAGAUAUUCGUCGCGAAACAACCAAAUGCUAAUAGUAAUCUUAAAAAGUUCAAAAAAUAAUAGACGGACAUAUAUACAAUGAUUGACUUAAAAGAAAUAUAAUAAAGAGCGUAAAAAAUGGGAAAUUAUUUUUGAUUGUCUAAUUUAUUUAAAGCUUACUACGUUCAAAAAUGAAAAAAGCAAAGAAAUGCAACCGCAAGUCCUUCCAUCCGGCAACUGUAAUAUCGUCGAACUAUUCGUUAAUACCGGUAUAUCGAUAUAUUUAUGACUGUCCCUAAGGAAUUUAUAAUCAUCGUCGUCUCGAUAAACGAUAGAAGGGAGAAAACAUUAUAGAAAGGGUAGGGGGAGCAAUUCGAUCUGGCGGCAUUAAUGCAGGUUUUAAUGAUCGCCGAUAUAUCGAGGAGAGCUUUUGAAUAUCGUCGCGUACGGGAAGACGAAUCGUUUCUUCACGGAGCUUUAUUAAAUCCGUGUUCUCGGAACGCGAGCAAGCGCGAGGAUCGUUCGAGAACGGGGCGUUAAUACGUUCGACAAUUUUUAUGCUCACGCUCCGGAGACAUAUUGGCGGCUUUAAUGCGACAUAAAAUUUCACAGCCCUGUCGGGCUACCGACAAUAUAUAUCGGCGCCACCUAUAUUGAAAUACAUAUUUCAUGCGGACGCGAUCAUCGCCGCGUUUACCUUUUUACACCAACCCCAUCUGAGCUUCCUUCGGAUAUUCGAAUCACUGAAUCACUCGCCACGUUCGAGGCUGUUAACGCGCGCCGGGGGUGUAUCAAAAGUCAUAUUAAAUUCAUGCAUCCCGACGCGACCAUCGAUAUUCCGUUUGGUCCACGUUUUGUAAUUUUUACAGGAAAUGACCUGUUUUUUUUAUUCGCGGCUCCGCUCUUUUCCUUUCUUCCGUUAAUUUGUAAACUAUGAGAACUUUAGGUAUGUUUCAUGAAUUCUGUCGUUUCUUUGUUAACAAUUUUUGACCAAGUGUCAAGCAUAUCUUCUUUUUUCGUUGCGCACUUUCCCAACGGUUACUUUAUCUUAAAUAAGUGUAAAUUUAAACAGAAUUGACCAAAUGCUGAAAGAACGAUAAUCAAGAGUGUAUUAGUUAAAAUAGGCGUGGUUAAUACUGAAACAUUGGUUACAUGCAUUUAGAUAGGAUACAAAUACAAUUCAAAUCACUCAACAGUUUCUUAGCUAUUUUUUAACUUAUUUUAGUUUGACAAAAAAGUACUUAAUACAAGUUAUAUAUUUUACGAAGUCUGAGAUAGCCAAAUAAAUUUAUCAAAAUCGGACAGCGUUACUCGGUUCCCCGUGCAUUCGUAUUCAUUUGUCGUAUGAAAUAGCAACUUUGGUUUUUGCAAAAUUGAAAUUUGUCGAAAUUCAGACCGACAGCAUAGCUGCUUGCUAAAUAAUUACCAACGUUGCGAUCGUAGACCGAAACGCUUCGAAGAAGCUGCAACUACAAUCAUGCUCUAAGCUAACAGCCGUCCAUCGAGAUAUUCGAACUUUCAUGGAGCACAGUUCGACUCGUGGAAUAUGACUUGAAAGUAUGAAUUCUGACGGGUGGCUGAAGACGAAGUUGCGAUGGGUGGGACCGGUAUUCUUCUUCGAGGCGGCGUUUCCCCACCAACUUUAUUAGAUAUUUUCUUCAAUAGGAUAGAAAUGCAAAUAACAGUUGUCAAGUAACUUCCUCCCGUUGAGUGGAAGAAAUAGACGGGUCCAAGACGAAGGACGGACGAAGAUCGACUGAAAAUGGAAGAUAGGAAGACGAUGUCGGAGUACCAAUAUUGAGUCGUGGGCACAAUCGGACGCAUUAACCCUUUGCCAGACGAGAAGAAAUUCACCAACGAUCUAGCUUUGAGGAAUCUGGCAACUGAGGAUGGAGGUUCUGAUUUUGCGUGGCCGCGAAAAGUCCAUUGAAAGCAUUGAUAUGAAAUAAUUGAAGUAGAAAAUAUAUUUUAUAAAAAUACGUAGAUAGUUAAAACAAAAGAAUCAGCUAAUAUAGAUAAUUAACCUGAGAAUGGAAGGAUAGUAUAGGAAAAUACGUUUUUAAUUGGAUUAAUUACUUCGUAUAAAAAUUGUAUAAUGUGCAUAAUAAAACAUAUGUACUACUAAUAUUAACAAAAAUGAUAAGUCUGUGAAACGGUAUAAUAGGAACGAAAUACCAAACGUGUGAAACGACCAAGGUUCAGAUAUCGAGAAGAAAAAUCCCUGGAAACAUUGAUCAGUGUGUCAAAGGAAAAAUUGUUAUAAAGACGGAAUCCUAAAGGUAUUAGAAAUCUGCAAAUCGAGAAGAAUAACCCUUGGUAAUUUCAAUUCUCUGUCGUAACGUCAUACGAUAUAGGAGUAACCAAUUAAAAUUGCCACGAUCACGCUUCAAGCGGAUGGAUUAAUUAAGUUCAGCGACAGCUGUAGAAUGUAAAGUUAUUAGUACGAACAAGUUGUCCGCUAUGCGUUCCGAAUUAAAUGACGAUUCACCGAUACAAUUGGUAAUAUCACGAUCAUAGCUAUUCUUGACUCUGAUUCACGCUCCUAAAUGAAAGAAUCGUGAAACGGCUGGAAUUCUUUCGUAAAUAAUUAAAGAGGUCAUCUUUGUGUCGCAACCACGCUCACACUUUAAAAAGAAUAAGACGAGAUAGAUAUAUUUCUUAAUGUACUUUAAUAUGUGAUUAAUUAAUAGAAAUGGUUGAAUUUGAAUUUCUAAUUGCUCGAAUAUAAUAACCAGGCCUAUUCAAGUUGACGUAUUUAGAUAAUUACGAGAAUACGAACAUUGGAAAAACAGAAUGGUUGGAGAGUUCGAAGAGUGACGAGACAUCUAAACUGAUUUCUCUUCUUCCGUAGGAACAAUUUUGUAACAUCUUAAUUAAUAAUUUUAUAAUAUUUACGAGAGACUAUUUCCUAAUUACCUUUUUCUAGCUUGCGCACUUUGAUAACGUUGAAAAAAUCUGAAAUAACACACAGAUAGGAAUUACACAAACGAAGGGUCGGUGAAUUUUUAGAUCCUGGCAAUUUUACUUUAUGUAAAAAAAACGAUGAUAAUUCGUAAGAAACAUACUUCAACGGUUACUCAGCCGCGAAAAUAUUUUGCUGAAUCUACAUUUUAAUUCCGAUGUACGUCUUCGGUCGGCUGAGUAAACGGAGGAGAGAGAAUAAACGUAGACGGGGACUUUAUUCGAUUUGCCUUCAUAUUUUUGUAAGCUGCGGCUCCGCUCCGUUUUCAUCUCGCCUUUCUCGUGAAUUUUAUAAUUAAUUAUCUUAAUGCAUUCGAUUCGGCGUUCCUUCCAUUUUCUCCGGCCGCUGUUCUCCGCAAAUCCCGGCGAAAGAUGCCUGAACGUUUCCUCGCUUUUUUCCACCAGCGGAACGUGAUUUCCGUUUCCACACUCUCGUUUAUCGAUUAUUUCCGAAGAAUGCUUGACGAGAAAUAGCUUUAUUUCUGUAUUAAUCUUGGAUCGGCUAUAAGCGAACAAAAGUAUGCACUUUUGUAAUGGCGUUCCAUGCGGUAUAUUCUGAUAUUCCGAAGACAAAGCCGCAUUAAUAAUAAAAAUCGACUGUAUAAUUUUUGUAAUUUUUAACAAUUUUAAUAUUUACUGUACUCUUUUAAAAUAAAAUUUUAACGUGGAAGGGGUUGCCACUGUUUUUAAUACACUAAUUAUGUAAUACUUUUUAAUUAAAAUUGUGUGUAACUAAA